This 2048-nucleotide long non-coding RNA is filed under the name Nicotiana benthamiana. Its description in RNAcentral is "long non-coding RNA (NBEN_LNC016172)". Lineage: Eukaryota; Viridiplantae; Streptophyta; Magnoliopsida; Solanales; Solanaceae. The record is from RNAcentral.
CCCAUCUUCCUCAAUAUAUCUCACCGCAAUUGCACACACUUAGGUCUCCUCUCAUAAAUCCUCCCCCACAUCCCCACGUUUUGCUUCAAAAAUUUUGUUGUAUAAAUCCAGCAAACUUGGGUUGAGAGGUCGAAGUUAGUGUUUGGAUUUCCCGUUAAAACGCGAGACACCAUUCAAGUCCUCGUUGUGAACGAAGCUUCCGGUCCGAUUUUGUUUCAGAUCCAAAGGAAUUGUUGGAAAAGUUUUGUCUUUAAGGUUCAUUCUAAUCUUUAUCUUUUUUUCGGUAUUUACGUGAACACUUUUUAUGAAUGUUGUAUUGUUAUCUAAAUAUAUGUUCAUAUGGCCAUUUUGUGUUAAUCUGUUAGGUACAUUCGUGUUCCUAUAUUUGUCAUCUUAAAAUUUAUAAUGUUAAAUCUGUCAUAAGGACAAAAGGAGUUUGGAGCUUGACGUUAAUGAGGAUCAGAUUUUUAAAUUAGUUAAAUAAUUCAAUAAUUUCAAUCCCUUACUCUCUAGUAAUUGUGACAGCUUCCCGUGAAUUGUCCGAAUCUUCGAAUAAUUAUAAUAUAAAUGCUUCGCUAUUUAUUAGUUAAAACCUACUCUAUUUUCACAAAUAAAUUCCAUAACCUUUAGCCUACUCUAAAAAUGCUAGAAAAACUUUAGUCUAUGUAUUCAUAUCCAAACCUUAAAUUAAUGUGUUUAAGUAAUGAAUAGAUCAUGUGUGAAUUCCUGCAUCAUGAUACCUCUAAAUGACACACCUCGAUUUAACAUUCAAUUACAAAGAAUACCUUGUGUGCGUAUUGCAUCUUGGUAAACACAAUUAAUAAAAUACAAUAACUAAUUAAGUGGUAAUAGGUAAAAGGAAAACUCAAUAAAAUACAAGAAUAGCUAAAAAAUUGAUUUAAGUCUUACAUUAGUCAAUAAAAGCGAUUGUGCUAGAACUACGGCACUUGAAGGGUGCCUUACACCUUCCUCCCGGUCAAUAGAAUUCCUUAUUGAGUCUUCUAUUUUUGUAGACCAUAAAUUAAGAGUCAAACCUUCCUUUUGAUAAGGAAUUCAAAUAAAAGAUGACUUGGAACACCUAAAACUCAAUUCCAAGCGGCGACUCUAAAUAAUAGAUAAUCUUUUCUCAAAAUGUCACUUUAAUUGGAAAAACUCUUCCAACACAACCGCGUCGUAUGGUUGUGUGACAAAAAAGAGGUAUGACAGCCGAGCAAUGAUUUAAGUAGGAGGUGUUGAUGAUAGGCUACAAUUAUAUAUUUUAGUCGAUUAUUAUAUUCUAAUUUACUGCACUUUAGUUGAGUUUGCGCUCUAAUCACUAAUAUUUUGCACUAAGUAUGUAUUUUAUACCUUGUAGGAGUGAUUUUGAGCUAUGUAGAUGGUAUGGAAUGAAUUUUAGUGAUUUGGAACUUUGAAGUUUGAGUAAAAAUCCCAAGGAAUUAAGCCGGAAUAGUAUUCAGGGAUCAAUGGAUGAUAGAGCGACGAAAUGAAGAAUCGAGUAGGCAUAUUUCACACUGUCUAGCAAAAUGCAUAUAACUUUUCUCUCAGAACUCCAUUUGGCUCCACAAAAUAUGGUUGGAAAGCUAAUUAAAGUUCUACAACUUUUAAGUUUUAUGUUUUCCAAAUUCUAAAAGGACGAGGCGAAAAAUACUGUCAAAACUGCUACUACGGAGCUGGACGCGGACUGAGGUAGUGCACUGUGAAAAUAUCGUGCCCGAACCGCGACCGCGAGCGUCCAGACCUAAAAAAUUAUCCUUUUUCGUGUAGGAGAAGGUAUAAUUAUUUGGACCCAACUCUACUUGGUAUAUAUACAUGGAAAAACGAUAUUUGGAGGGAGGUAGACAUAUUUUUGAAACAUAUUAGACCUAAGGAGGCAAAGACACAAUAAGUGUAAUGUGGAGAAUUCUUCUACGAGUUUUCCUUCCUCUUCCUAUUUUUUCAUUGUUGGUUAUGACUUUUAGUAUUAUAGUUUUACAUAUUAUUAUAAAUAGCCAAUUUGUUAUCUAGGAUUUUAAUAGAACCUUUUAUAUGAUAAAUUCUUGUUAUAUUUU